This is a long non-coding RNA of Canis lupus familiaris (dog), 3630 nucleotides long. RefSeq lists it as uncharacterized. NCBI's taxonomy places the organism in Eukaryota, Metazoa, Chordata, Mammalia, Carnivora, Canidae. The transcript has 4 exons. The record is from RefSeq and is a predicted model, not a curated record.
AUUACAACAUAGAUGAGCUAUGGGCAGCUUGCUCUGGGCAAGCCAGCCCUGAAAGAUACUGCUGAAGAACUCAUGAAAUGUAGACUACGAAGAUUAAGAUCUCCACACUCCGCUCAAAAUAAAGCAUCUUUUAAGGAAGCAGCCAGAGUGGUGACAAGGUCAGGUGAAAAGAGCAGCUAAAGACUGAGCUCACCUGGGAAAUCUCCUUCACUGCUGGUUCGGGAGUGUGGUGUCAGCAUCACGGAGUGGAAAGGACUACGUGUCAGAAGAGGCUGUAGGGGAGGUACACCAUCUCUUCUACCCCUCAGGUUCUGUGACCAAGGCCCUGGGAAUUAAACUGCCAAAGGACAGAUGAACAGAGUUAAAAGAUUUAUCUCACAUGCAUAUGGAGGGCCUCCUAGACAUGAAAUGAGACCCCCAAGACACGGUCAGACCCAAAGGACAAUAAAUACGUAGAGAAGUGACAAGACCGUUUAAAGAAAAAAGGCUCUUGAGCUUCUGGGGUUGGGCUCUUCAAGGAGUAUGGUCUUACUGGAACACUUUCAUGUCGAUUGCUCAGGCUGCAAUCCUCUAGCCCCUGGCUCCUCUACGGGGAGGGGGGAAAGCCUGCCUUUUGACUGGAAGCUGUACCUUGGCCCGAAUGGUAAUAAGACCCAGAAACUUGAUGCCCUCUCUUUAUUCGUACUCUUAUACAAAGCUGUCUUUCUUGGGCACAGGACAGCCACUUAAGUCACUAAGAUGGUUGCUAAUCUUAAGACUCCCACAGGAGGUUACCUUCUUAUUGGUCUAAUGUGAUCCCCUCCACAUCUCUGGUGUAGCCGCUUCUGGCCACAGGACCUCUGCCUGGAGCCACCGAAACCAGUAACUGAUAGAAUUAAAACCCAGCCAGGGACCAUUUCCUGGGGAAGUCAGCUAUUAUGGCCACAUGUGCUGGAAUAUCACUUAGACCAUGAUGGAGUUCCAUCUUUAUUCUUCUUCUUCAGUGUGCCCUACUGACUACUUAAAUUGUAACAUUAGGUAUUUCCCCAUGCAGAUUCUUAACAUUCUUCAUGGGUUAACCAUGGGUUAAGAUGGCAGCACUCUUGGUCCACCUACCAGCACCUAUUAUAUCCUGGGAAAAACAAUAGGGAAGCAAAGGGAUGUUGACAUCCCUUCAGUAAACAAGUUGGUAUUCAUAAUAGCCUUUUGAAGGAUGCCUCUGGUUGCUUCGAACACUAGGAACCUUGACAUUAUCUUGAAUAAGAUGCCACCAAGCCGUCCAGGGGGGAUUAUGGUAACGGACUUCUCCACUUUUCUGGUAAUGAGAUCUUCCUCUUGAGGGAAUCUUCCUCCCUUGGGGUAUCUCUUAAUCAAUUGGAACCAAUUUGGAUUGUAAGAUAAAGAAAAAAAGACUCAUCUUCUUCUGCAAUAAUGCAUGGCCUCGGUAUUCCUUAGGAGAUAAGGAAAAAAUAGCCCAUUAAUGGGACAAAAACUUCAGUACUAUAUACCAGUUAGAUCUCUUCUGCAGGAAACAAGGAAAAAGCAUUGAAGUGCCCUGUGUUCAGGCCUUCAUGGCCUUAAAUCAAUAUCCUGAUGUAAGGGCUUCUUACAGAAUGUGUUUAGCCACUAACCAGGCUGAUAAACCCCCUCUCAGCAUAUUGGAUGUUGAUUGUCUAAACAGGCCCCCUCCUCUUAACAAACUUGAGCUACUGGAGGAAUCACCAGCCAGUGCAAAAACACUGGAUCUGUUACUAUCCCUCCUCUUUACAAGCCCCAAGUCCCUUCUGUUCCCAGCCUAUCUGGACCUACCAGGAGAGGAACCCCUGUCUCCCAGGAGCUCCUUCUAAAUCUGGACUAUAUCCCCUUAGGGAGGUUGCUAAUGGAGAAAUGAGCAUUAUUAGAGUCCAUGUCCUGUUCUCCAUGGCAGACUAGCCUCAAGUAAGACAAUUAGGACAAUGUUCUGAAAACCCUUCUCAAUUUAUUGAAGGUUCUCAGCAAUUAUGUUAUGUUUGAUUUGAACUCACUGUUGCACCCUUGAGGAAGAAAAACAUAUCUGGGUGGGGGCUCAAGAAUUUGUUGAUGAACUACCAGUCAGAGAUAGAGGGGUAGGGGGGUAGAGGGUGUUGUUAUCCCAAAUACCCAACCACACUGAAAUUAUCAAGAGGGUAGCUAGCCAAAGAAAGGAAAGAGGAGACCAUAUGAUCACUUGUUGAAUAGAAGGAAUGAAAAAAAAAAAGUAUUUUCAAAAUCUGUAAGCUUUAUUAAAAUUCAGGAAAUCAUUCAAGUUGCUGAUGAAAAUCUAGCUCUAUUUCAAGGUUGUUUGAUAGAAGCCAUCCAUAAAAUAUACAAAUCUGGCCCCAACCUCACCUGAGGGAACAAUUACAUCACGCACACAUAUUCUAAGUCCGUGGGAGCCUGACAGCCACCGACAAUGAACUAAAAUGACUUUAGGUCCUCAAACCCCACCCGGCACCUACCAAAGGCCACUGCUGGAGUUUUUAAUAAUAGAGAGAAGGUUUUAAGACAGGAAAAGGACCGGAGAGCUAAAGUGCAGGGUAAAAUACAGGCUCAAACAUUGGCUGCCGCCAUCGCGGAUUCCCCACAACACCAGACUAACCAGGGGCCAAAGAGAAAGCCGGCAUCAGGCCAAGGACCAGGUGAGAUCCGUGCUACAGGGGUGGCCAGAUCGGACAUUGGAGCAAGGAAUGUCCAAACAAAAGCUCUCCACCGGGGCCAUGUCCUGUCUGUAAGGAAGAAGGACAUUGGAAGAGAGACUGUCCUCAUCUCCAGAGAGAGAGGAAGACAGGAACUCACUUCCCCGCCCGAGAGCAGGAACCUGAGGAUCUGGCAUGACGAGGCCCUGAGGCUGGUCCGGCUCCCUUUGACAUCAAGAUGACUGAGCCCCAGGUUACCCUGGAUGUGGAAGGAAACCAGCGAACAAACUAACAUGCCAUCUUACUCCUGUGAACCUUUAGAAGAUCUCAAACUCCUCUUCAAAAGACAAUGAAGUGUCUCCCUGCCUGAUGCUGAGACUCUUUCACUACCAUUAAUUCAAGCUGACAGAUGAUCCUUUCUACUUGAGAAGAUUCCCAUAUGUUAUCUACCUUGGAUUCAGCUGCCUCUGCCUUUGGUAACUCCUAUAUAUAAAUCCCCCAACUGACCAGUGUUGACUCAUAGUAGGGACAUCUCUAUGCCCCUCUUCAGCAGGAAGAAAUUACAGAAGAUAAAACCUUCCAACCUCAGCAACUUUAAAGAUUUAAGGGUCAAAAUUGUUCAGGGGGAAAAAUGAGAAGAACAAAGGCAAGAGAAAUGCAGUUAAAAUUAAGUGUCCUUACGAUUUCAGCCCACUGAUAAAUACCUGAAACCUGCAGAGCAUGACAUUCCUCAAGAAACUCAUGGCUGCCUUAAAUUCAUGUUUUGCUAGAGACUAACAACAACCUCGUCUUGACAAUAAUAGCCAGAUCUCCAGGAUCCUAUAACUCUUCUUUAACACAUGGAAAUCCCUUUAGAGACUUAUGUUAUCUCUAUGUACUUUUAAGUUUGGAGGGGGGCAUGUAACCAGUCACUCCUCAUAAUCAUAAGUGCAGUUCUUACUGCCCAUGGCAGUCCUGUGUCUGUGCUAUAAUAAAAGCACCUUUUUGCACCAUAAAA